GAGCAAUACCGCGUGAGGGAAGAAGGCUCUUGGGUUGUAAACCUCUUUUAUUAGGGAAGAACAAAAUGACGGUACCUAAUGAAUCAGCAUCGGCUAACUCCGUGCCAGCAGCCGCGGUAAUACGGAGGAUGCAAGCGUUAUCCGGAAUUAUUGGGCGUAAAGCGUCCGCAGGUGGCUUGUCAAGUCUGCGGUCAAAGACAGAAGCUCAACUUCUGCCAGGCCGUGGAAACGGGCGAGCUAGAGUACGGUAGGGGUAGAGGGAAUUCCCAGUGUAGCGGUGAAAUGCGUAGAGAUUGGGAAGAACACCGGUGGCGAAAGCGCUCUACUGGACCUGUACUGACACUCAGGGACGAAAGCUAGGGGAGCGAAAGGGAUUAGAUACCCCUGUAGUCCUAGCUGUAAACGAUGGAUACUAGGCGUAGCUUGUAUCGACCCGAGCUGUGCCGAAGCUAACGCGUUAAGUAUCCCGCCUGGGAGUACGCACGCAAGUGUGAAACUCAAAGGAAUUGACGGGGGCCCGCACAAGCGGUGGAGUAUGUGGUUUAAUUCGAUGCAACGCGAAGAACCUUACCAGGACUUGACAUCUGGCGAAUCUUGAGGAAACUCAAGAGUGCCUUCGGGAACGCCAAGACAGGUGGUGCAUGGCUGUCGUCAGCUCGUGUCGUGAGAUGUUGGGUUAAGUCCCGCAACGAGCGCAACCCUCGUUUUUAGUUGCCAGCAUUGGGUUGGGCACUCUAGAAAGACUGCCGGUGACAAACCGGAGGAAGGUGGGGAUGGCGUCAAGUCAGCAUGCCCCUUACGUUCUGGGCUACACACGUACUACAAUGGUCGGGACAAAGGGCAGCCAGCUCGCGAGAGCAAGCGAAUCUCAGCAAACCCGGCCUCAGUUCAGAUUGCAGGCUGCAACUCGCCUGCAUGAAGGAGGAAUCGCUAGUAAUCGCAGGUCAGCAUACUGCGGUGAAUUCGUUCCCGGGCCUUGUACACACCGCCCGUCACACCAUGGAAGCUGGCCACGCCCGAAGUCGUUACUCCAACCCUUUUUGGGAGGAGGAUGCCGAAGGCAGGGCUAGUGACUGGGGUGAAGUCGUAACAAGGUAGCCGUACCGGAAGGUGU
This 1114-nucleotide ribosomal RNA is filed under the name uncultured cyanobacterium. RNAcentral describes it as "bacterial SSU rRNA". It matches the Rfam family "Bacterial small subunit ribosomal RNA", at positions 389 to 1515 of the family's 1533-position model. Lineage: Bacteria; Bacillati; Cyanobacteriota. The record is from RNAcentral.